CCUACGGGAGGCAGCAGUGAGGAAUAUUGGUCAAUGGACGAGAGUCUGAACCAGCCAAGUAGCGUGAAGGAUGACUGCCCUAUGGGUUGUAAACUUCUUUUAUAUGGGAAUAAAAUGUUGGACGAGUGGGAGUUUGUGGGUACCAUAUGAAUAAGGAUCGGCUAACUCCGUGCCAGCAGCCGCGGUAAUACGGAGGAUCCGAGCGUUAUACGGAUUUAUUGGGUUUAAAGGGAGCGUAGGUGGGCUGUUAAGUCAGUUGUUAAAGUUUGCGGCUCAAACCUGAAAUGGCAGUUGAAACUGGCAGUCUUGAGUACAGUAGAGGUGGGCGGAAUGCGUGGUGUAGCGGUGAAAUGCUUAGAUAUCACGCAGAACCCCGAUUGCGAAGGCAGCUUACUGGACUGCAACUGACACUGAGGCUCGAAAGUGUGGGUAUCGAACAGGAUUAGAUACCCUUGUAGUC
Molecule: ribosomal RNA, 460 nt
Filed under: uncultured bacterium
Lineage: Bacteria
Description: partial 16S ribosomal RNA
Rfam family: Bacterial small subunit ribosomal RNA
Source: RNAcentral